RNAcentral lists this transfer RNA (1026 nucleotides) under uncultured Bartonella sp. RNAcentral describes it as "partial 16S-23S ribosomal RNA intergenic spacer". The stretch from base 422 to 495 matches the Rfam family "tRNA". The record is from RNAcentral. Lineage: Bacteria; Pseudomonadati; Pseudomonadota; Alphaproteobacteria; Hyphomicrobiales; Bartonellaceae.
UCAUUAGACACAAGGUUUAAACGUGAGUUUGUUUAAACCGUGCAUAUGACGCUAACUCUCAAUGAAUCCCUCUCAUCAAAAAGAGACCCCCUCUCUCAUAACAAGGAGGUCCCCCGUCUCUUUGAGGCCCCUACCUCAGAUGAGAGAACUGUUUGAGGGAUUAGUGCUCAUGUGUUGAUGAAAUAAAAGCAGACAUGCCGUCUUCGUUUCUCUUUCUUCAGAUGAUGAUCCCAAGCCUUCUGGCGAUCUCUUAAAAUAAAGCCUGAUCCGUUUCUAACAAACAGGAUAUCUUGAUAGAUCUUUAAAUCCUUAUAAACCUUAAAGAGUAUCAAUUUUAAAAAAAGGCUUUAUGAAGAAAGCACUUUAAGCUUUUCCAAUGAUUUAAGAUGAUACCGGGGAAGGUUUUCCGGUUUAUCCCGGAGGGCUUGUAGCUCAGUUGGUUAGAGCGCGCGCUUGAUAAGCGUGAGGUCGGAGGUUCAAGUCCUCCCAGGCCCACCAAUUUAUGCUCGUUUUUUGCUUACCUGAGAAUAUAUGAAGCUUAAGCAUAUGAACGCCUCUUUAAGUUUAAAGAUUUCAUUUUAUCGAUGAUUUAUUAGAUUUAUUCUAUUAAAUUUGUCAAACAUUGCCCUUGUUAAAGAGAAUUUUAAAUUCUCUCUAAGCAGACAGGUAAAUUGAAAUGAGGCAAAUCAAAAAAAUGCAAAUUUAAAGAAUACAGGCUAUUUAAGUUGAUAAACUUUCUUGUAUUUGAUUUGGAAGAGCAUUAUUUAGGGGCCGUAGCUCAGCUGGGAGAGCACCUGCUUUGCAAGCAGGGGGUCGUCGGUUCGAUCCCGUCCGGCUCCACCACUUUAUGGUUCAUCAUCAUGUUGUAAGAGCACGGGUUUAGUAAAAGGUUCUUUAUCCUUUUGCUUGUUCUAUUGAAAUUGUGAAGAGAAGAUAUAUUCAAACAUGUUCCUUUUGAACUGUUUAUUUGAGAGACCAAAAUUUGUUCUCAAGAAUAAUCAUUUAAGAAUAAAAAUCUUAAAAAGA